This 275-nucleotide unclassified non-coding RNA is filed under the name Hevea brasiliensis (rubber tree). Lineage: Eukaryota; Viridiplantae; Streptophyta; Magnoliopsida; Malpighiales; Euphorbiaceae. The record is from RNAcentral.
AAAAUUUCAUCCAACUCUGAUGAUUCUGUUUCUUUGGAGGCAUCUGCUGGUCCAGAGGAAGCUCUUUCCGAAUCCUUGAGCAAUUCAUUUGGAGCUGGUAGCUAUGCCAGAAGAAUGUUGGAAAACAUGGGCUGGAAGGAGGGAGAGGCACUUGGCUGCAGCAACAAAGGGUUGAUUGAACCUUUACAGGCUACGGGAAACAAAGGUUCUGCUGGGCUGGGUUGGAACGAUGAGCGAAGAAAGCAGUCCAUGUACAGUUAUAAAAAACGAGAGAU